GCGUCCUGACGUCACCGCCAGACUGGCUCGCUGAGAGACCGGCGGGAAUUUUUCAAAAUGGGAGCACCGAGGCGCCGCCCAGGCCUCAGGAGGUACCGGGGGUACCUUUCGGUGGCGUUGGCGGCGGCGGCAUAGACAAGGCAGCCUGAUGGGCUCCAAGACCCGCUGGCUGCUCGGAGCGCUGCCUCGGAGGGACUGCGACACGGCCGAGUCCGGGGCCCCGGAUGCCCGGGAACAUGGCGGCGUGCAUCGGGGAAAGGAUCGAGGACUUUAAGGUUGGAAGUCUACUUGGUAAAGGAUCAUUUGCUGGUGUCUACAGAGCAGAGUCCAUUCAUACCGGUUUGGAAGUUGCAAUCAAAAUGAUAGAUAAGAAAGCCAUGUACAAAGCUGGAAUGGUACAGAGAGUCCAAAAUGAGGUGAAAAUACAUUGCCAGUUGAAGCACCCUUCUAUUUUGGAGCUUUAUAAUUACUUUGAAGAUAACAAUUACGUGUACCUGGUAUUAGAAAUGUGCCAUAAUGGAGAAAUAAACAGGUAUCUAAAGAACCGAAUGAAACCUUUCUCAGAAAGUGAAGCUAGGCAAUUCAUGCAUCAGAUCAUCACAGGAAUGUUGUAUCUUCAUUCUCAUGGCAUAUUACACCGGGACCUCACACUCUCUAACAUCUUGCUUACACGUAAUAUGAACAUAAAAAUUGCUGACUUUGGACUGGCAACACAAUUGAAAAUGCCUCAUGAAAAGCAUUACACACUCUGUGGAACUCCUAAUUAUAUUUCACCAGAAAUUGCAACUCGAAGUGCACAUGGACUUGAAUCUGAUAUUUGGUCAUUGGGCUGUAUGUUUUAUACAUUACUUAUUGGAAGACCCCCUUUUGACACUGAUACAGUCAAGAACACAUUGAAUAAAGUAGUAUUGGCAGAUUAUGAAAUGCCAACCUUUUUGUCACGAGAGGCCCAGGACCUUAUACACCAGUUGCUUCGUAGAAAUCCUGCAGAUCGGUUAAGUCUGUCUUCUGUGUUGGACCAUCCUUUUAUGUCACGAAAUCAUUCAACAAAAAGUAAAGACUUGGGGACUGUAGAGGAUUCGAUGGAUAGUGGGCAUGCCACAAUUUCCACAACAAUUACAGCUUCUUCCAGUACCAGUUUGAGUGGUAGCUUACCUGACAGAAGAAGACUUUUGAUUGGUCAGUCACUUCCAAAUAAAAUUACUGUAUUUCCAAAAAAUAAGAAUUUAAGUGACUUUUCUUCAGGAGAUGGAAGCAAUUUUUGUACACACUGGGGAAACCCAGACCAAGAAGCUAAUAAUAGGGGGCGGGGAAGAUUAAUUGAAGAUGCAGAAGAAAGGCCGCAUUCUCGAUACCUUCGAAGAGCUCAUUCCUCUGAUAGAUCCAGCACUUCUAAUCAGUCUCGAGCAAAAACACACUCAAUAGAACGUUGUCAUUCAGUAGAAAUGCUUUCAAAGCCCAGAAGAUCCCUGGAUGAAAAUGAAAAGAGUUCCAAUCACCAUUGUCUAGGAGAAACUCCUUUUCCAUUUGCAGACCAGACGCCUCAGAUGGAAAUGGUACAACAGUGGUUUGGGAAUCUGCAAAUGAAUGCUCAUUUGGGAGAAACUAAUGAGCACAAAACCGAUAACCCAAGCAGAGAUUUCCAGGGCUAUCCAGAUUCACGGGACAUGUUAAGAAAUGCUUGGACUGAUACAAGAGCCACCAAGAAUGCUGAUAAUUCUGCUAAUGUUCAUCCUGUAAACCAGCUGAGUACGACAAAGUUUACUAUGACUGCACAUCAUAGUAAACCUGAGAUUAUUCAACAAGAGCUGGCCUUCCAUCCUCAUUCUGAACAAAGCAAGAAGAGGAGUAUGGAGUCAACACUGGGUCACCAGAAACCUUCCUUACGAAGCAUUACAUCUCCUUUGAUUGCUCACAGAUUAAAACCAAUCAGACAGAAAACCAAAAAGGCUGUGGUGAGCAUCCUAGAUUCAGAGGAAGUAUGUGUGGAGCUUCUAAAAGAAUGUACAUCUGAAGGACAUGUGAAGGAAGUUCUUCAGAUAUCUAGUGACGGGACUAUGAUCACUGUUUAUUACCCAAAUGAUGGAAGAGGCUUUCCUCUUGCUGAUAAACCACCCUUGCCUACAGACAACAUCAGUAGAUACAGCUUUGACAAUUUACCAGAAAAAUACUGGCGGAAAUAUCAGUAUGCUUCCAGAUUUAUUCAGCUCGUAAGGUCUAAAACUCCCAAAAUCACUUAUUUUACAAGAUAUGCUAAAUGUAUUUUGAUGGAGAAUUCUCCUGGUGCUGAUUUCGAGGUUUGGUUUUAUGAUGGAGCCAAGAUACACAAAACAGAAGAUUUAAUUCACAUGAUUGAAAAAUCUGGUAAAUCUUAUACUUUAAAAAAUGAAAGUGAAAUUAUGAGCUUGAAAGAGGAAAUGAAAAUAUAUAUGGACCAUGCUAAUGAGGGUCACCGUGUCUGCUUGGCACUGGAAUCUGUAAUCUCAGAAGAGGAAAAGAGAAGCAGGAGCUCUUCAUUCUUCCCAAUAAUUAUAGGAAGAAAACCUGGUAAUACUAGUUCACCUAAAGCCUUAUCACCACCUCCUGUGGACCUAAGCUACUCAAAGGGUGAGCAAGCAUCAACGAGCAGAUUGAGCAUGAAUAGUGCGGCAUUUCCAACACAGGCACCACUACACAAUCCUUCUACUGCUACAGCUGAAGGACUUGGCCACACAGCCACUGCCACAGGAGCAAGUUUCUCUUCUUCGAGUCUUCCUAAAUCAGCACAGCUUUUGAAAUCUGUUUUUGUGAAAAAUGUUGGUUGGGCUACACAGCUAACUAGUGGAGCUGUGUGGGUUCAGUUUAAUGAUGGUUCGCAGCUGGUUGUCCAAGCAGGGGUGUCUUCCGUUAGUUACACAUCACCAGAUGGUCAGACAACUAGGUAUUGAACCUUGUGAAUGCAUUGCAAGCCUUCUAACUGAACUGUACCACCCAGCACUGACAUUUUUGAAAGCAAACUACUAGUCCUGACAAUAUAUAAGUGCUGUCUCUAAGUGUUCAACUAAUCACAGAUCAAAAAUAUAAAAAUACUAUGGUUGUACUGAGAUACAACUCUAUCAAAACAAGUGUUCUGUUUUUUAAAAGAAACAAAUUGGGUGUACUUCAUUUGUUUUUGGAAUCCUAGUAUGGAGAAAAUGAAAAAUUACCAGAAUACAUCAAACAGAAAUUACAGUGUCUCUCUUCCAUCCUUGUGAUGUUUUCUAAUCCAACUCCUAGUUUUCAUUAAUUCAAGUCCUUUCAGGUGUCUUUAUUUAAUAAAUGACUUUUUGGUUGGCUUUCAAGUAAAGUGAGGGUUUUUUUUGUUUUGUUUUGUUUAAUUUACUGUAACUUCAGAAAGCCUUUCUAUGGCCAGGCGGUGGUGGCGCACGCCUUUAAUCCCAGCACUCGGGAGGCAGAGGCAGGUGGACCUCUGUGAGUUUGAGACCAGCCUGGUCUACAAGAGCUAGUUCCAGGACAGCCUCCAAAGCCACAGAGAAACCCUGUCUCGGAAAACCAAAAAAAAAGCCUUUCUAUUAAACAGAAAUUUAAUCUUUAUCAUAAAAAAUAAAAAAUAUAUGCUAAGAAAACAAAAUAGAAUAAAACUUUUAUUACCAAAUACAGUGGUUAUAAAAUAAACUAGGACAUCUGAUUUUGCUCAAAGUACUUAAUUGCUCAAACUUUCUGUGCUCAUGUUUGUAUUGAACUAAAUUGUGUGUGGUGUGUUUGUUUUUGUUGUUCUGUACUAGUAAGUCAUUGAGAAUCAUGAACAAAACAUGUUAUAGCUUUGAAUAUGUAAAUAAUGUACUUAUAAGCAAUAUGUAAACAUGUAUAUUUUGUAUUUAUUUUUGUAGCACUUGUGUCUGAUAAAAUAUUUCUGCAAAUACAUUUUAUAAAAUAAA
This is a non-coding RNA of Cricetulus griseus (Chinese hamster), 3917 nucleotides long. NCBI's taxonomy places the organism in Eukaryota, Metazoa, Chordata, Mammalia, Rodentia, Cricetidae. The record is from RefSeq and is a predicted model, not a curated record.